UUUUUAAAAAAUAAAUAAAUAAUUUGCUUGAUCACAUAUUCAAUGAAAUUUAAUAUCAUGUCAUAAAACAUUAAAAAAAAAUCUCUUGAUUGUUGCAUAUAGUAUAAGGCAUCAGCAUAAAAUAUUCUAAGGGCUGAACCCAUUUAAAAAGAUAAGGUCGGAAUUUCAUCACUCGUCCUUAGCCCAAAAAUCACCCCAGUGCAUAAAUAUCCUAAGCUAAACUAAAAUCAAA
RNAcentral lists this long non-coding RNA (232 nucleotides) under Phoenix dactylifera (date palm). Its description in RNAcentral is "long non-coding RNA (PDAC_LNC002478)". Lineage: Eukaryota; Viridiplantae; Streptophyta; Magnoliopsida; Arecales; Arecaceae. The record is from RNAcentral.